AAACGCUUGAAGUUAGUCGCAUUGGCUAGAGAUCAACUUGGCUUUUGCUUGGUGUAUUCUCUAGUUAAUGGGUCAACAUCAGUUUUGACUAUUGGAUAAGAGUUAAAGGGAUGUGGCUCCUUUAGGAGUGUUAUAGCC
This 138-nucleotide ribosomal RNA is filed under the name Rectipilus sp. RNAcentral describes it as "partial large subunit ribosomal RNA". Lineage: Eukaryota; Fungi; Basidiomycota; Agaricomycetes; Agaricales; Porotheleaceae. The record is from RNAcentral.